Molecule: ribosomal RNA, 482 nt
Filed under: uncultured bacterium
Lineage: Bacteria
Description: partial 16S ribosomal RNA
Rfam family: Bacterial small subunit ribosomal RNA
Source: RNAcentral
GACGAACGCUGGCGGCGUGCUUAACACAUGCAAGUCGAACGAUGAACUGGAGCUUGCUCCAGGGAUUAGUGGCGAACGGGUGAGUAACACGUGAGUAACCUGCCCUUGACUCUGGGAUAAGCGCUGGAAACGGCGUCUAAUACCGGAUACGAGCUUCAGCAGCAUGGCUAGGAGUUGGAAAGAAUUUCGGUCAAGGAUGGACUCGCGGCCUAUCAGCUAGUUGGUGAGGUAAUGGGUGACCCAGGCGACGACGGGUAGCCGGCCUGAGAGGGGGGACGGCCACACUAGGACUGAGACACGGCCCAGACUCCAACGGGAGGCAGCAGUGGGGAAUAUUGCACAAUGGGCGCACGCCUGAUGGAGCAACGCCGGGUGAGGGAUGACGGCCUUCGGGGUGUAAACCUCUUUUAGUAGGGAAGAAGCGAAAGUGACGGUACCUGCAGAAAAAGCACCGGCUAACUACGUGCCAGCCGCCGCGGUAA